AUUGAACGCUGGCGGCAGGCCUAACACAUGCAAGUCGAGCGGCAGCGGAAAGUAGCUUGCUACUUUGCCGGCGAGCGGCGGACGGGUGAGUAAUGUCUGGGAAACUGCCUGAUGGAGGGGGAUAACUACUGGAAACGGUAGCUAAUACCGCAUGACCUCGAAAGAGCAAAGUGGGGGAUCUUCGGACCUCACGCCAUCGGAUGUGCCCAGAUGGGAUUAGCUAGUAGGUGAGGUAAUGGCUCACCUAGGCGACGAUCCCUAGCUGGUCUGAGAGGAUGACCAGCCACACUGGAACUGAGACACGGUCCAGACUCCUACGGGAGGCAGCAGUGGGGAAUAUUGCACAAUGGGCGCAAGCCUGAUGCAGCCAUGCCGCGUGUGUGAAGAAGGCCUUAGGGUUGUAAAGCACUUUCAGCGAGGAGGAAGGCAUCACACUUAAUACGUGUGGUGAU
This 452-nucleotide ribosomal RNA is filed under the name Rahnella sp. S717-09. Its description in RNAcentral is "bacterial SSU rRNA". It matches the Rfam family "Bacterial small subunit ribosomal RNA", at positions 30 to 473 of the family's 1533-position model. The record is from RNAcentral. Lineage: Bacteria; Pseudomonadati; Pseudomonadota; Gammaproteobacteria; Enterobacterales; Yersiniaceae.